Molecule: non-coding RNA, 4790 nt
Organism: Saimiri boliviensis boliviensis (Bolivian squirrel monkey)
Lineage: Eukaryota; Metazoa; Chordata; Mammalia; Primates; Cebidae
Source: RefSeq, a predicted model, not a curated record
CCCCGGCCGGACUUCCGCCGGGAGCUUGGUGCACCCGGCUUCUCCGCCCCGCCCGCGUUGGCCUCGGUGCGCCGGAGAAAGUGCUCCCGGCCGGCCGCUGCGGUCGGGCCAAGGUUCCGCGCCGGGCGUGGACGGUCCGCAGAUCCUCCUUAGCUGCAGUCCCAAGGAUGGACCCAGGAGACCCUGCUGGUGACCCUGCCGCUGGCACGCGCCGCUGCACAGGCCAGGACCCCCUCCUGCUCCUGCAGAUCCUGCAGACCCUGUGGUCCACGCGGGAGCGGCAGCAGCUCCGGGAGGAAGCCUGGCGGGGGUUUGCUGCCCUGGACGACCCCCUGGCUGGGCUUCUGGACAUGCUGGAGAGCAGCCGGGGCCGGCGCAGAGAGGGCCCCUCCCUGGAGGCCUGGAUCUCCCACCAGCUGCAGUGCUGGCUGCGGGCACAGCCACACCCGGGCCCAGCCCAGCACAGCCCGAGGCUGGAACAGCUGCAGGCCCGAGCGGUCAGGGUCCUCACCGAGAGCCCCCUCAGCCUUGCAGCGCCACUGGCCAGCAUCUUCCAGCUACAGGAUGCGGACCGCAGCUGCCUGCUGGAGCAUGUCCACCGCCUCUACCACGAGGGCAGGUUCAGAGAAGCAGUCAUGCUGGGCACGACGUUGAAGCUUCAGCCAGAACUUGAUGUUGAAAAGAUGAGUGUCCCACUGCUCCUCCAGGACAAGGUGGCCCUCGUGGAGCGCUACGUAGCCGGCUUCCCGGACCUCCAGAGGAGGCUGCUGGCCCUCAUGGACUCCUGGUGCCAGCCCGGCUUUGACAUCAAGGAUGUUGCCAGACAGUACCCUCAGGUGGCCUCCCUGAGCCUGGAGAAGCUGAGUCCGAAGGUGCUGAGCAGGCAGGUCUUACGUCUGCAGGAGCGGUUCGGCAUGGUCCCAGCGCUGUGUCCCCAUGCGGCCACGCAGCAGCGCCUGGCAGCCCUGCAGCACCUGUGCCACAAGCGGUUUAUGGAGAAGAGCCUGUCUCAGGAGAACUGGGCUGACCACGUGCAAGUGAGUCCGUGCCCUGCCCCAUGGGGCUGCAGAGUGCUGGGCAGCUGUCUGAGGGGCACAGGCCCGGAGCCUCCGGGAGAAAGCGGGCAGACUGAGGCCUUCGUUGGGGCCGGCGACCCCAGACCCUAUGUUAGGGCGUGUGCCUGCCAGGCGGGUGGGGGGUCCCCAGGCUGGGCAGCCUGCUCUGAAGCCGAGGGCCUUGGGGGAGCCCGGCUGGGCCUCGUUCCAGGCAGAUGGCAGCGUCCGUGCCACCCAAACCGGCCGGCAGAGCUGCCUGUGUGGCCGGGUGGGGGCCGAGAGUCCCCGGAGAGGUGCGGGGCCUGGGCGAGGCCGGAAGGAGGAAGGCCAGGCCCCCCCAGUGCCAGCACGGAGCCGGCCGGAAGGGCAGCGGACGUCCUGAAGAAUGCGGGCGGCUUCCACGUAUUGUCGUCCACGUGGGAACCCACGCCGGGGAAGCAGCCUCGGGCUACUGGGCCUGAAGCCAGCGAGGGCCUGGUGGGACAGAGCCCGUGGCUUCAGGAGCAGCUGUCUCAGUUGCUGGCCUCCCUCCGUGACCCAGGCACGGCCACCCAGUGCACCCCGAACCCCCUGCUGCCCGAGGAUCAGCUGCCAGCCACAGUGGCUGCAGAGCUUGGCCAGCUCCAGCUCCAGGGGAGGGCGGCUGAGGCUGACUCGAAGCCCGACGUGAAGGAGGUGAAGGACCGGCACUACCAGCUGCCCAUCCCCAGGGAGAACGUCUACCUCCUGGCCUCUCGGGAAGACCUGGCCAGACAUGAGGGUGCCCUCCUGCAGCCCCAGCAGGUGGUUGCCGUGGACCUGGAGUGGACACCGGUGUUCGUCGCUGGGGGCCGGCCCCGGCCAUCACUCCUGCAAGUGGCCAUGGAGGGCCACGUGUUCCUCCUCGACAUCCAGGCACUCACGCAGCCGCCAGCAGGACAGGGAGCCCGGGCCUUCUCCCAGCUGGUGACCCAGCUUCUCUCAGACCCGUCCAUCACCAAGCUGGGUUAUGGGAUGGCAGGGGACCUGCAGAAACUGGGCACGUCCUGCCCCGCCUUGGCCCACGUGGAGAAGCAGGUUCUGGGUGGCGUGGACCUGCUGCUGGUGCACAGACAGAUGCGCGUGGCAGGCAUGCCAACCCCAGGCGUGGACGGGGCUGGUGGGCUGAGAGGCCUGAGCCUCCUAGUGCAGCAGGUACUGGGCACGACCCUGGACAAGACGCAGCAGCUGUCCAACUGGGACCGGAGGCCACUCUGCGAGGAGAAGCUCAUCUACGCAGCUGCUGAUGCCUACUGCCUGCUGGAGGUGCAUCAAGCCCUGUGCAGAGAGCCCGCCCGCUUCCACCUGUCGGGGGACCUGGCUGGGAGCCAGAGGCCCAGGCACAGAGAGAGACCAGGAACAGAGGAGCCGCCCAGCCUGCAGGACGCUUCGGCGUCGGCCGCACCCAGGCAGGUCCCUGUGGCUGUGACUGAGGCCACCAUCCCUCAGGUCCCUGCCAGGGCCUUCCGCGUGGUGUGUGACAACAUGCUGCAGGGGCUGGCACGGAGCCUCCGCUGUCUGGGCGUGGAUGCGCAGGUGCUGCGCAGCAGUGAGGACCACCGCAGGGCAGCUGAGAUCGCCAGGCUGGAGGGGAGGAUCAUCCUGACGUCAGGGCAGCCCUAUCACACGCUCCGGGCCCAGGUCGGGGCUGGGCGCUGCCUCCUGGUCGACGGCUCCCUGAAGGCCCAGCAGCAGGCCAAGGCUGUCCUCAGGCAUUUCAACGUGCGUGUCACCCAUGCAGACAUCUUCAGCCGCUGCCAGCUGCCACCAGAUGCCCGUCCAUCGGGAAACCACGGCACCUGGCCACAUGCCCCAGCCCUCCCAUGAUGUCACAAGCAUCCCCCAUCGUCCUGGGUGAGCGGUGAGGCCAUGUGGAGCCCCCUGUCCCCCGCCCACGCCAGCAUGCCCCUAAGCCAAGCGCCUGCACGUAGCCUGGGUGAGUGGAGGGCUUCCCUGCACCAGGGCUCAGGAGCAGCUUCCCUGGGAAUGUACAGACACAUGGGGUGUGGGUGGACAUUGGGUGGCCUGGACAGCUGCAGCCACAGUGACUCCAGCCCCAAGCAGGACAGCUUGACCUAGGGCCUGGACAGUGGGGCUGGGAGGCUUCUGAGCAAGCAUGGCUGCGUGUCUGGGCCAGGGCAGCUGCUUCCAAGGUCAGCGGGCAGUGGGACGUGCGUGACCCUAGGCAGGGCUGAGCUGGCCACGUGGGCAGCAAGCAGAGGCCCCUCAGUACCCGGAACUGUCUGGGGACCGUGCUGGACUGCAGGGAACCAGGGCCUGCCUUCCCCUGCUCCACACCUCCACGGCUGGACUGGAAGACCAGGCCUCAGCCUGGCUGCUGGGCACCUCCCCCGUGCUGGACCCGCAGAAACCGUAAGGGAAUGGGGAUGCAGGAGCACCGGCCGCCGAGACCUGGCCUAGGAGGACUUACCCUCCGCAGGUUGAGGGGUCAGGGGACGGUGGCCCCAAGUGCCAGUCAGGCCUCCAGGGGUGGGCACAGGCAUUUCCCUGGAGCUGGGGGGAGGGGGCUGGGGUACCCCAUUGCUGACUUUGGGGAACCCAGGCAGAGUCUUGAGGGCCAUGCAGCCCUCCUCAGGUGUCCCCGGGGCCUGGCUCCACUCUCUGCACAGCCUGGAUGGAUGGGGUGGGCAGGCUGGCCUCGGGGGCUCAGGGGUGCAGGCAAAGGGACCGGCCUUGGCCAGGUUCAAGGAGGGGAGUUCUGGGGAGCUCCUUGGGGUGACGAGGCAGGGUCUGUGUCCGGCAACCGUUUCACCCAACCUCCCGGACAGGCACUGGGAUCUCCUGUCCCUUCGCGUUGACCAUCCUCCAGGCCAGCCAGGCUCAGAGAAUGACCCGGGUCACCUGGCUCACCUGAGCAGGAGAGCCGCGCCCACGCGCCUGCACCUCAGGACACGGGUUUGCUGAGGCGGCCUGGGAGCCCCACCUCCUCCCCAGGGGGUGCUGACAUCAGAAGGGCUGUGAUGGGAAGGCCACACCUCUGCAGGACCUGUGGGUGCCUGCCUGGGACCUGGCUCUCAGUGGGCACCCAGCCCCCUCCUGGCUUUGCCCGGGGAGCCUGGGGAUCGGACCCGUCUCUGUCCAGGAAGUGACUGCUAGGAGAGCUGUGCAUCCCCUCCGAGUCAGGAAGCCGGGGUGUAAGCUGGUCCUAGCCUCCCAGCCUCCCCGCCCCACCCCCAGCAUCCAGCAAGGCUGGCAGGCCUGUAACGGUGACCAGUACCUGAAGGUGUCCACAGACAUGAUGAAGCAGCUCAUGCGGCUCAGCGGCCACCAGGAGGGCCCCAGGACCUCGGGUGACAAGGCCACCCAGAGCCAGGAGAGGCAAGAGCCAGGUCCAGCCCCAGAGGAAGCUCCUGGGGGCUGCACCCAUGACCGCCCCUGCCGCUGGCUGCAGGCGGCUGAUCUGUGUGCAGAGACGCCAGACACGCUGGCCAACGGCACCCGGCUGCAGCUGGCCAGGGUCCCGGCGGGCGUGCUGAGGACACCGGGGCUGCAGCACUUCUACUGCUGCUCGCGCUGUGGGAAGGUCUUCUGGGAUGGCUCCCACCUGGGUCGUGUUGCCACCCACUUCCAAGACGUCCUGGAGAGCGCCCCGGGCGCCUGUGAGCCGAGCCCAGCCCCCAGCCCGGCCAGCAGCUCCUUCUGAGGACAGCAGGGCAAUAAACGUGGAACAUGCCGAGUGCUGGGCCCGUGGCUGUG